This 1298-nucleotide long non-coding RNA is filed under the name Lathyrus oleraceus (garden pea). RNAcentral's name for it is "Pisum sativum (pea) long non-coding RNA (PSAT_LNC032406)". The record is from RNAcentral. Lineage: Eukaryota; Viridiplantae; Streptophyta; Magnoliopsida; Fabales; Fabaceae.
UGAAUUUACAAAUACACAUUUACCCUAUUCCAACGAGUUCUAGUUACAACCUCUAAUAGAACUUUGAACCAUUCCAAGAUGCUACAUUACAAGUCAUUCAAGAAUGUCACAAGUUAUUUGAAUCCUAAGCCUAAUGGACUAUGAACUACUUUUUUCUCAAAGUACCAAAGUUGCCUCGGUUUUGCUCUUCAUUCUUCACCAUCCGACUUUCACUUUGCAGCAAAACCAAACAUGCCAAGCUUAGCCAAAAACAUCUUAAAAAAAUAAUUUGAUCUUCAAGUUUGGCUAGCUCCACUUUGCUACCAUUUAUUAUCCACUCAUGGAAGCCUCUAGUGAUAUGUUUUUUUGUUGCAUCUACCACAUGUACCACCUAUUCAAGAACAACCUAAAACCAUUAAAGCAUCAAGCCAAAGACAAGUUUUGAACAAGCAAUUCUCAAAGUUACUCGAAAUAAAACUAAUCAAGAUUACUACUAGGAGACCAAAUCUCUUUCUAAACAAAUGAAAAUAAAGAAAUAUUCAAGAGAAUAAACAAGUUAAGGCAGUCCAAACAUGAUGACACAAAUUCAAAGCAAUUCCAAAUUCAAAGGUUGGCCAAGCAUCAAACACAAGAUGGAAUUCACAUGGUUAUUAGACAAAUCUAAUUCAAAUGUUGUUUUUGCAUUGUCGUUUUAUGCUAAGUGAAAAUAAAGAAAAAAUUGUAUCAGUAGGAUCCCACGGUUCACACUCGGAAAACCCAAGGAAAUUAUGAGAUUUUUCCACCUCACAUCCACCUCACCCUAACAAUUCUCUUAAUUGAAGUCAGAUCUAACUUACUCAAUCUACCACUCCAUAAUUUUCUCAGUCAAUCACUCCCUAAAUUUCCUCAACCAUUGAGUAAAGUUCCACAACCCUAAAACUCCUCUAACAGUCACACAUUACAUAGUCCAACCUCUACCUAUAAAACCUUGCAACCGAUGCAUUUAAGAAAAAACCCAAAUUCUCAUGCUCAAAGAAACUAAAACACAAACAACAACAUCCACACAAGCACAACAUGCAAACACCUACAACAAUUUCUCAGCAGCACAAUAACAUACCACAUAACAAAUAAUUAAAAUUGAAAUAGGGGAAGAAGUUCGGAAAUAGCAAAAAGUAAGAAAGAAGAAGUUCGAAAAUAGAAAAAAGUAAGAAAGAAGAAGAGAAUGAGUGAACAAUAACCUAGAGAUUUCGCUAGACUCCUUACUUCCUCAUCGUUGCCGAUGGCCGAAGGAUGUAAAGCCCUAAAAACCCGUGUGUAGUUAUCAAAGAAUUUAAUCAAGG